RNAcentral lists this transfer RNA (85 nucleotides) under Felis catus (domestic cat). It matches the Rfam family "tRNA". Rfam says of the family: Transfer RNA (tRNA) molecules are approximately 80 nucleotides in length. Their secondary structure includes four short double-helical elements and three loops (D, anti-codon, and T loops). Further hydrogen bonds mediate the characteristic L-shaped molecular structure. tRNAs have two regions of fundamental functional importance: the anti-codon, which is responsible for specific mRNA codon recognition, and the 3' end, to which the tRNAs corresponding amino acid is attached (by aminoacyl-tRNA synthetases). tRNAs cope with the degeneracy of the genetic code in two manners: having more than one tRNA (with a specific anti-codon) for a particular amino acid; and 'wobble' base-pairing, i.e. permitting non-standard base-pairing at the 3rd anti-codon position. Lineage: Eukaryota; Metazoa; Chordata; Mammalia; Carnivora; Felidae. The record is from Rfam by way of RNAcentral.
GCCUGGGUGGCUCAGUCGGUUAAGCAUCUGACUUCGGCUCAGGUCACGAUCUCACGGUCUGUGAGUUCGAGCCCCACAUCGGGCU